This 844-nucleotide ribosomal RNA is filed under the name Stephanostomum cestillium. RNAcentral's name for it is "partial large subunit ribosomal RNA". It matches the Rfam family "Eukaryotic large subunit ribosomal RNA", at positions 380 to 830 of the family's 3401-position model. Lineage: Eukaryota; Metazoa; Platyhelminthes; Trematoda; Opisthorchiida; Acanthocolpidae. The record is from RNAcentral.
AGAGAGAGUAAACAGUGCGUGAAACCGCUCAGAGGUAAACGGGUGGAGUUGAACUGCAAGCUCUGGGAAUUCAGCUGGUGAGCAUGGUUUGGGCUUGGUCAAAUUGGUUGUUGUCUGGGGUCUGCGUAGCAGCAGGUCUCUGCCUUCGGGUGGGGAUGUGCGAUACACUUAUCAAGUGUUGUGCGCCCUGGAGCAAUCGAGCCAACUUGCCAGUGCACUUUCUCAGAGUGGUCACCACGACCGGCACUGCUGUCUGGCUGUUGUGGUUAAACCGGUCUUGCAUUGGCCUUGUGUCUUUGCUUGGUCGGGAUGGCAGGUAGCCCGUUGGCUUGUCUGUGGUUCGCUGCAGGCGUUCGGCUUUCGGGUGUAAUCAGCUGACUAUGAUGGUUCUGUGCAGUGUGUCGGAGACGGCGGCUUGUGGUGCAUGCGUGCGUAGCCUUGUGCUGGCGGGUCUGAGUUUGGUUGCUAUGUUGCUUGUUCAAGCAGGCCUGGCGAUGGCUCGGAUCUGUUCGGUGCUCGGUAGCGUGUGUUGUGCUAUUACCAGGGCCAAUAGUCUGUGGUGUAGUGGUAGACGAUCCACCUGACCCGUCUUGAAACACGGACCAAGGAGAGUAACAUGUGCGCGAGUCAUCGGGCGUAAUGAAACCCACAGGCGCAGUGAAAGUAAAGGUUUGGCUUGUCCAGACUGAGGUGAGAUCUUGUCGUUUCCCACGCGCGGUACUACCAAGCAUCGAGCGGCAGGCGCAUCACCGGCCCGUCCCAUGACGUAGUCACAUAGUCUUCGGACCAGUGCACCGUCGGGGCGGAGCAUGAGCGUACAUGUUGAGACCCGAAAGAUGGUGAA